CGGAGCGUGUGGUUAAUUCGAUGCGACGCGAAGAACCUUACCUAGACUUGACAUGACGGUGAAAGGGCUGGAAACAGUCGCCCUCUUCGGAGCACCGCCACAGAUGUUGCAUGGCGUGUCGUCAGCUCGUGUCGUGAGAUGUUGGGUUAAGUCCCGCAACGAGCGCAACCCUCGUGGUAUGUUGCCUAUAUCAUACCAGACUGCCCCCACAAGGGGAGGAAGGUGGGGAUGACGUCAAGUCCGCAUGGCUCUUACGUCUAGGGCUACACACACGCUACAAUGGCCGGUACAAUGCGCAGCCACGGGGCGACCCGGAGCGAAUCGCCGAAAGCCGGUCUCAGUUCGGAUCGCAGGCUGCAACUCGCCUGCGUGAAGUCGGAGUUGCUAGUAACCGCGAAGGGCGAAUUCUGCAGAUAUCCAUCACACUGGCGGCCGCUCGAGC
RNAcentral lists this ribosomal RNA (442 nucleotides) under uncultured bacterium. Its description in RNAcentral is "bacterial SSU rRNA". It matches the Rfam family "Bacterial small subunit ribosomal RNA", at positions 933 to 1365 of the family's 1533-position model. The record is from RNAcentral.